AACGAACGCUGGCGGCAGGCUUAACACAUGCAAGUCGAGCGCCCCGCAAGGGGAGCGGCAGACGGGUGAGUAACGCGUGGGAACGUACCCUUAUCUUCGGGAUAGCCCCGGGAAACUGGAAUUAAUACCGAAUGUGCCCUUUGGGGGAAAGAUUUAUCGGAUAAGGAUCGGCCCGCGUUGGAUUGGCUAGUUGGUGGGGUAAAGGCCUACCAAGGCGACGAUCCAUAGCUGGUCUGAGAGGAUGAGCCGCCACAUUGGGACUGAGACACGGCCCAAACUCCUACGGGAGGCAGCAGUGGGGAAUAUUGGACAAUGGGCGCAAGCCUGAUCCAGCCAUGCCGCGUGAGUGAUGAAGGCCUUAGGGUUGUAAAGCUCUUUCACCGGAGAAGAUAAUGACGGUAUCCGGAGAAGAAGCCCCGGCUAACUUCGUG
Molecule: ribosomal RNA, 431 nt
Filed under: uncultured bacterium
Lineage: Bacteria
Description: partial 16S ribosomal RNA
Rfam family: Bacterial small subunit ribosomal RNA
Source: RNAcentral